CAAUAAGGGCACUAGGGUUCCGGCAGGUCUCUCCCAAUUAACUUAAGGGAAAGAGCCAGCGACUGGACCGAGAGUGACCGACCUCCAGCGGCGUACUGGCAGGUUACACGGCGGGAUAAAAGCCCGGGAGAU
Molecule: non-coding RNA, 132 nt
Organism: Oceanobacter sp.
Lineage: Bacteria; Pseudomonadati; Pseudomonadota; Gammaproteobacteria; Oceanospirillales; Oceanospirillaceae
Source: Rfam